CCCUUAGAUGCUCUGGGCCGCACGCGCGCUACACUGGUCGAUGCAACGAGUUUCUUUCCUUGGCCGACAGGCCUGGGCAAUCUUUGAACAUCGAUCGUGAUCGGGAUAGAUUCUUGUAAUUUUUGAUCUUAAACGAGGAAUUCUUAGUAAACGCAAGUCAUCAGCUUGCAUUGAUUACGUCCCUGCCCUUUGUACACACCGCCCGUCGCACCUACCGAUUGAAUGGUCCGGUGAAAUCUCCGGACUGGCGUGAGUCGGAGCAAUCUGACAAACACCGGAAAGUUGAUUAAACCUUACCAUUUAGAGGAAGGUGAAGUCGUAACA
RNAcentral lists this ribosomal RNA (324 nucleotides) under uncultured eukaryote. Its description in RNAcentral is "partial 18S ribosomal RNA". It matches the Rfam family "Eukaryotic small subunit ribosomal RNA", at positions 1470 to 1796 of the family's 1831-position model. The record is from RNAcentral.